UGAUGGAAACGAGCAAGUGGCACUCCACGCACUGAUAAGAUAUGGCUCUCGCUCGGAGCUCCAUACGGCUAGGCACACUAAGUGUUUUCUAUUCUACUUAUACACCAAGCAAGCUACCUUUAAUUAAGGAGAUCGAGAGUUGGCUAGCUUCCUAGAGAGAGAGAGAGAGAGAGAGAGAGAUGCAUGAUAUGGAGUCUCUCCCUGUGCCCAGCGUUCAGGCGAUGGUGGCGGCCACCGGUGGAGCCCAUGUGCCGCCAAGGUAUCUCCGGCCAGAGGUGGCCGCCGAUGCUGUGGCUAGCGAAGGCGAGGCCGCGAUACCCAUCAUUGACUUUGAGAGGCUGCUGCUGGAGGAGGAGGCGGCGGCGGCGGCGGCGGCUUCUUGUCGCGUUGAAUCUGCACGCCUCCAUGCGGCCUGCCAGGAGUGGGGCUUCUUCCAGCUCAUAAACCACGGAGUUCCGGAUGACGUCAUCCAGGGGAUGAAGGCCAACAUUGAAGCAUUCUUUGGGUUGCCUGCAGAGACGAAGCAGCAGUUUGCUCAGGAACGAGGCCAGCUGGAGGGCUACGGUCAGCUGUUCGUGGUGUCGGAGGAUCAGAAGCUGGACUGGGCUGACAUCCUCUAUCUGAAUACGCAGCCGCCUGAGCACCGGAACACGAGAUUCUGGCCUGACAAGCCCGAUACCUUGAGGUCGACACUGGACGCAUAUUCUGCUGCCGUAAAGACUGUAGCGGAUCGCCUUCUGGCUAUUAUGUCCAGCAACCUCGGGUUGCCACCGGAGGUGGUUGCUAGCAGAUGCAGCGGUGGCGGAAUGCAGUCGGUGAGGAUCAACUACUAUCCUCCCUGCGCCGAGGCAGACAAGGUUGUGGGCUUCUCCCCACACUCGGACGCUGAUCUCCUCACCCUGGUCCUGCAAGUGAACCAGGUCCAAGGUCUGCAGGUAAAGCGCCAAGAUGGUACCUGGGUUCCUGUGCGGCCUCUGGAUGGCGCUUUUGUUGUCAACGUUGGAGACAUUCUUCAGAUCUUCACAAAUGGAAGGUACCGGAGCAUAGAGCACCGUGCCGUGAUCAACGCGGAGAGCGCGCGCCUGUCCGUUGCAGCAUUCCACUCACCGAACAUCCAUGCCACGAUUGGCCCUCUUCUAACAGUGACAGACGGUGGACCACCAGAGCUUCAUGAGGCUCUUCUUCUCUGCCAAGCUGGAGGGCAAGAGCUUCUUGCAACGGAUGAAGCUCGAUCUUGACACAGCUAGCAACAGCAGCAGCACCUGAGUACUGCCGCAAUUUCUUCUUCUCUAUCGCAUUGCUUUGCUUGCUAUAAACACAUGUCGUCAUUGCAUUGGGUCUGUCUCUGUAGUCAACAUUACAUUUUAUGCACGAGAUGAACAAUUAAUCAAUCUGCUUACCAGAUAAGUGAUUAUUUGGUGAAUAACAGAGUCAACAAGUUUCGA
This is an RNA transcript of Panicum virgatum (switchgrass), 1445 nucleotides long. It is a transcript of the gene named 2-oxoglutarate-dependent dioxygenase 11-like, with no coding region annotated. The record is from RefSeq and is a predicted model, not a curated record. NCBI's taxonomy places the organism in Eukaryota, Viridiplantae, Streptophyta, Magnoliopsida, Poales, Poaceae. The transcript has 4 exons.